RNAcentral lists this transfer RNA (71 nucleotides) under Loxodonta africana (African savanna elephant). It matches the Rfam family "tRNA". From Rfam's summary of the family: Transfer RNA (tRNA) molecules are approximately 80 nucleotides in length. Their secondary structure includes four short double-helical elements and three loops (D, anti-codon, and T loops). Further hydrogen bonds mediate the characteristic L-shaped molecular structure. tRNAs have two regions of fundamental functional importance: the anti-codon, which is responsible for specific mRNA codon recognition, and the 3' end, to which the tRNAs corresponding amino acid is attached (by aminoacyl-tRNA synthetases). tRNAs cope with the degeneracy of the genetic code in two manners: having more than one tRNA (with a specific anti-codon) for a particular amino acid; and 'wobble' base-pairing, i.e. permitting non-standard base-pairing at the 3rd anti-codon position. The record is from Rfam by way of RNAcentral. Lineage: Eukaryota; Metazoa; Chordata; Mammalia; Proboscidea; Elephantidae.
GCAUUGGUGGGUCAGUGGUAGAAUUCUUGCCUUUCGUGUGGAAGACCUGGGUUCAAUUCCUGACCGAUGCA